This 1485-nucleotide ribosomal RNA is filed under the name metagenome. Its description in RNAcentral is "bacterial SSU rRNA". It matches the Rfam family "Bacterial small subunit ribosomal RNA". The record is from RNAcentral.
AGAGUUUGAUCAUGGCUCAGGACGAACGCUGGCGGCGUGCUUAACACAUGCAAGUCGAACGAGAAUCUGUGGAAAGAGGAUUCGUCCAAUUGAAGCAGAGGACAGUGGCGGACGGGUGAGUAACGCGUGAGGAACCUGCCUUUCAGAGGGGGACAACAGUUGGAAACGACUGCUAAUACCGCAUAACAUAUAGAUGUCGCAUGGCAUUUAUAUCAAAGAUUUAUCGCUGAAAGAUGGCCUCGCGUCUGAUUAGCUAGUUGGUGAGGUAACGGCCCACCAAGGCGACGAUCAGUAGCCGGACUGAGAGGUUGAACGGCCACAUUGGGACUGAGAUACGGCCCAGACUCCUACGGGAGGCAGCAGUGGGGAAUAUUGGGCAAUGGGCGCAAGCCUGACCCAGCAACGCCGCGUGAAGGAAGAAGGCUUUCGGGUUGUAAACUUCUUUUGUCAGGGACGAGUAGAAGACGGUACCUGACGAAUAAGCCACGGCUACUACGUGCCAGCAGCCGCGGUAAUACGUAGGUGGCAAGCGUUGUCCGGAUUUACUGGGUGUAAAGGGCGUGUAGCCGGGAGGGCAAGUCAGAUGUGAAAUCCACGGGCUCAACUCGUGAACUGCAUUUGAAACUACUCUUCUUGAGUAUCGGAGAGGCAAUCGGAAUUCCUAGUGUAGCGGUGAAAUGCGUAGAUAUUAGGAGGAACACCAGUGGCGAAGGCGGAUUGCUGGACGACAACUGACGGUGAGGCGCGAAAGCGUGGGGAGCAAACAGGAUUGGAUACCCUGGUAGUCCACGCUGUAAACGAUGAAUACUAGGUGUGCGGGGACUGACCCCCUGCGUGCCGCAGCUAACGCAAUAAGUAUUCCACCUGGGGAGUACGAUCGCAAGGUUGAAACUCAAAGGAAUUGACGGGGGCCCGCACAAGCGGUGGAUUAUGUGGUUUAAUUCGAAGCAACGCGAAGAACCUUACCAGGGCUUGACAUCCUACUAACGAGAUAGAGAUAUGUUAGGUGCCCUUCGGGGAAAGUAGAGACAGGUGGUGCAUGGUUGUCGUCAGCUCGUGUCGUGAGAUGUUGGGUUAAGUCCCGCAACGAGCGCAACCCCUAUUGUUAGUUGCUACGCAAGAGCACUCUAGCGAGACUGCCGUUGACAAAACGGAGGAAGGUGGGGACGACGUCAAAUCAUCAUGCCCCUUAUGUCCUGGGCUACACACGUAAUACAAUGGCGGUCAACAGAGGGAUGCAAAACCGUGAGGUGGAGCGAACCCCUAAAAGCCGUCCCAGUUCAGAUCGUGGGCUGCAACCCGCCCACGUGAAGUCGGAAUCGCUAGUAAUCGCGAUCAGCAUGCCGCGGUGAAUACGUUCCCGGGCCUUGUACGCACCGCCCGUCACACCAUGAGAGUCGGGAACACCCGAAGCCCGUAGCCUAACCGAGAGGAGGGCGCGGUCGAAGGUGGGUUCGAUAAUUGGGGUGAAGUCGUAACAAGGUA